GUGGCAGGGUGCCUUAGGUCGAGGUUGCCGGCGUCUGGGCUUGUCCUGGCUGUGUGAUUACUACCAGGAUUUUGCUGGUUUUUGAAAGUGCUGGAAAUCCUCAUAGCACCUCCUCCUCCCGCGGGGUUCUGGAACAGAAGGUGCUAGCACAGUUUGCCUGUCUCCUUGCCUACCUGGUUUACAGAAUCCUGCCUUCAGCAGGGCUUCCAUCCCGCCACCCGUGUCUCAUGGACGGGCAGAGAGGCAGGAUCCCAGGUGUGAACUUGGACGCAGAGCAGAAUAACUCAGACAUCCUCUGUGCCUCUCCUUGACACGACCCAGAGUCCUGGGAAAGCAGUGGAAGAUGGUCCAAGUGCUUGGACCCCUGCCUCCUUCGUGGGAGACCAGGAUGGAGUUCCAGGCUCCUGACUUUGGCCUGGCCCAGCCCCAGGGGCCAUUUGGGGGAUGAAUCAGCAGGUGGAAGAUCUCUUUUUUUCCUCUCUGUGUCUUUCCCUCUCUUUGUUACUCUGCCUUUCGAAU
Oryctolagus cuniculus (rabbit) is the source of this 519-nucleotide non-coding RNA. The record is from RefSeq and is a predicted model, not a curated record. Lineage: Eukaryota; Metazoa; Chordata; Mammalia; Lagomorpha; Leporidae.